RNAcentral lists this ribosomal RNA (784 nucleotides) under uncultured bacterium. Its description in RNAcentral is "SSU rRNA". It matches the Rfam family "Bacterial small subunit ribosomal RNA", at positions 70 to 853 of the family's 1533-position model. The record is from RNAcentral.
CACAGUGUAGCAAUACAUGGGUGGCGACCGGCAAACGGGUGCGGAACACGUACGCAACCUUCCUUCAGGCGGGGAAUAGCCCAGAGAAAUUUGGAUUAAUACCCCAUAAUAUUUUGAGAUGGCAUCAUCUUAUUAUUAAAGCUACGGCACCUGGAGAUGGGCGUGCGGCUGAUUAGGUAGUUGGCGGGGUAAUGGCCCACCAAGCCUACGAUCAGUAGCUGAUGUGAGAGCAUGAUCAGCCACACGGGCACUGAGACACGGGCCCGACUCCUACGGGAGGCAGCAGUAAGGAAUAUUGGUCAAUGGACGCAAGUCUGAACCAGCCAUGCCGCGUGGAGGAUGAAGGUCCUCUGGAUUGUAAACUUCUUUUAUCUGGGACGAAAAAAGGGUUUUCUAACUCGUCUGACGGUACCAGAUGAAUAAGCACCGGCUAACUCCGUGCCAGCAGCCGCGGUAACACGGAGGGUGCAAGCGUUAUCCGGAUUCACUGGGUUUAAAGGGUGCGUAGGCGGGCAUUUAAGUCAGUGGUGAAAUACCUGAGCUUAACUUGGGAACUGCCAUUGAUACUAUUUGUCUUGAAUGUCGUGGAGGUUAGCGGAAUAUGUCAUGUAGCGGUGAAAUGCUUAGAUAUGACAUAGAACACCUAUUGCGAAGGCAGCUAACUACGCGAAUAUUGACGCUGAGGCACGAAAGCGUGGGGAUCAAACAGGAUUAGAUACCCUGGUAGUCCACGCCCUAAACGAUGAUUACUCGACAUUAGCGAUACACUGUUAGUGUCUGAGCG